GGUGUGAAUGAUGCAAAAGAUUACCUUAGGCGGGUCUUUUGGUCGUUUUGGCCAAUGGUUCAGACCCGCCCAUGUUAGGGUAUGUCAUAGUUACACUGACACACU
Small nucleolar RNA from Paramormyrops kingsleyae, 105 nucleotides. Ensembl annotates it as small nucleolar RNA SNORD46. The record is from Ensembl. Lineage: Eukaryota; Metazoa; Chordata; Actinopteri; Osteoglossiformes; Mormyridae.